AAUGGACAACGAGUUUGGAGAAUCCCGAGUAACAAAAUAACGUCGAUUCUUCACCAUCCAUAGCGGAGCUUUCCGCUUUGUGAUUUCGUUUCGGUUCGAUUGGAUUCAGCGGCACUGCCAGCUGUGGUUAUAGAAGUCUGGUUAAGCAGUGCUGGCAACUCGAGGAGGUUCCAGUGCGUUACAUUGCGUUGGGGUAACAUUAUUAUCGGCAGAACCAUAAAGACAUCACGUCGGAUCACGUCGGUCCAGAGACGGUAAGAUCAGACUGUGAUCAGCUUGCGGGGGAGUCGGAGAGAAGACAGUUCCCGUAGGAUAAGGAUAAAGAUAAAGAAUAACUAAAAGACGAAGAACAAGAAGAAGAACCUCAGUGCAGAAAGUCUCGGUUCUUCUCCACCUCCUACAUUUCAACGAACCAACCUCGUCCUCGUCCACCGGCCGACCUGACCGGUAUACAAGUUAUUGCAUUCGCCUGCAGGAGGAAUUUUCUCGAUGCUCCUGGACCAAUGAGAACGAAAUGACCCCUGAUCAUACCUCGGACCAGGUGACGUGACGUUGAAUUUCUGGAAGGUCUAGCAGAGCCAAGAACAAAAUAUCGAAUAAUAAGAUGAAAGAUGAUCCGAUAGCGACCACUACAUUUGGACCACCCCGUAGUGACUGUACCAAGAGGAAGGUGUACGAUACCGACCCCCCUAUCUUACCUCACGAUCCUGAUCACGAUCACGCACGCACGUAGAACCGCCCACUGCGUCCUCGACUUCUUCUUCAUCCUCUUCACUUGCAAUACCACUCUACGUAGUUCCAGGUACCUGAUCGGGAACGCACGUGCGUACGAGAUCAAUAAAACAGAGGCUCUGCUUCAUGGCUGGAAUAAAAUCACCCAGGAUCGACCAACGAGACUUAUUACUUUACGCUGCUGGUGACCUCGGCUGACCUAAGAACACUUCUGUGUACGAGACUAGACGUACUCUGGGCGCAUAUGAUCGCUUCUAUACGUGAUAUUCUCCGUGAUAUUUAACCGAUACGUGUGUGCCUGGCUCUGAGACAGGAGCCUCUAGGACACAAACAGGACAGGGUCAUCCUCGGUUCAUAAUUAUUCUCUCGUUCCUCCACCCACGCAGUAGUUCUCAUCCUCUUCGCUAUCUAAUUGGAUACUCAUCAGGAGGCCCGAGUGGACCGAACGUGACAUUCACGGGCCGUAAUUAAAUUAAAUGCAGAAGGCAGUCAUGGAAAAUGGGAAGAGACAGCGAGCGGGGAAGGAGGACACAAAAUAUAUAUAGAAGUGAUCAAGAGAUAGUACCCAAGAAGAACGGACUACUUUGCGUGGAAGAAGCUCGCGUUGACUAAGAGGCUCGUGCAUCGAGGAGCCAGACCCUCCUCCACGGUAAGGCACGGGCGUCGAUGGGUUAGGUUGGUGGUACUCGACGUCGGGAAUUCUGCUGGCUCUUGUACGUCUACGCGUCAACGGAUUCCCAUUGCAUCCACUUCAAGCCGGUAACGUUUUAACGGAUGACUACGGUCCUCACGGAGAGAAGAUCCAAGCAUGGAAAGUCGGUCCAGGUAUACCCCAGCAUCCAGGUACAUACCUAUGCGGGUAUGGUACAAAAUAUUAUUAUGCAAGAGUGUACUGCCGCCAAGAGCAUCACAGCCUGGAGAAUUACGAACAAAGGCAGCGUAUAAUUCCCAACGUAACUCGGGGAAUGCCUUCCGUUAAGGUUGCCAGGAAGAGGGAGUGGAGGAGAAUAGAUACGGAGACACGUUUUCUCUCCUCUCUCCAGUCGGCAAGAACUUUUAAGACUAUCGUUUAAGAGGAACGCUCUCCCCCCUUCUUCCUCUCGCUGCGCAUCCUCCUAGACGUCGCAUUCCCCGGCAUUGGAAUAUCCAUACCAGACAACCGCAUUGUUACCAAUCGUAAAUGGUCCAUGACUCUGGUACCGUUGGCUUACCCAUCCAUCAGAAUGCCAUAGGCUCCGAUAACAGCGUUGGCAGACCGGCUUGAAGAGAAAUAGACGAAAUUAGCAAGACAUAAAGAUCAGAUCAGUCAGUCGUAAUCCGGUUCAAGAAUAAGUUGAAACGAGUUCAAUAAUUACCAUGAACAAUCUGCUCGGCAUCCGAUCAAUCUGUUAAACUAUGAAUCUCAUUUCUAUUUGAUCAACUGUCUGAAGCCAGUCUUCCAGACGAUCAGCAUUACCACUUUGCGUCCAUCCCUCAACCUGACACGAAUACGUAAUUAUAUACAUAUAUACAUAUAUAUAUAUAUAUAUAAGGUUCAAGGCGUUCAUGGAGUUUCGGUAGGAUAUAAUAUAUACAUAUACAAGACUAAAGUUUAACCAGGCUUUCGUCCUGUAACAAGUCAGGCAGAUGUCCAGUGCGUGAGUUCCGUCGCGGUUCGAUGCUUCUCUGAACGAGUGAACUUUGUGGCCCGAGGGUGGUUCGAGGUAGUCAGGUACCAAGUACCCGGUACUGACUAGGUUGGCAUGGAGGUGGGUAGGUUGGUAAGGAGGCAGAAAGGCAACCUGGCAGUCAGGUAUACCAGGUACCCCUUGCUCGCGAUACGCGCUCUCGAUGGGACCCAGGGCUCCAUGGCUCUUCAGCUCACGCGGGACGCUGAUCUGUGACCCGGAUCCUCCCUACCUCAAGUCCGCUCCGUUGCGCCUUUAAGGUAACUGACUAUCGAACCAGAAUCUUUCUACGCUGCAAUCUCUGGCUCGCAGGCGUUCCUAGUACGUUGCGAGUAUGUACUACGGUGCUGUAGUACUACGAGAGUAAUGCUGGGGACUGCGAGAGAUAUUGAGACUGAGAAGUGUACUGAGAGAGAGAGAGAGAGAGAGAGAGAGAAAGAGACUCUGGCGUCCUGAAUCGCCGAUUUCUGAUGCAGCCACGUAAUUGCGGAUGCCUGGUGUGUGCAUAAUUGCGAACGGCUACCACGUGAGACUCCGAAGACCCUGCUGCUGACAGAUGGAAGAAUACUCGCGAUCGAUUGUUCUUAUAUCAUCGUGCGUAAGCCUGGACGUUUAUAUGCGUAGUU
Cephus cinctus (wheat stem sawfly) is the source of this 3025-nucleotide long non-coding RNA. RefSeq lists it as uncharacterized. Lineage: Eukaryota; Metazoa; Arthropoda; Insecta; Hymenoptera; Cephidae. The record is from RefSeq and is a predicted model, not a curated record. The transcript has 8 exons.